AUUGAACGCUGGCGGCAGGCUUAACACAUGCAAGUCGAGCGGGGGGAGGUAGCUUGCUACCGGACCUAGCGGCGGACGGGUGAGUAAUGCUUAGGAAUCUGCCUAUUAGUGGGGGACAACAUCUCGAAAGGGAUGCUAAUACCGCAUACGUCCUACGGGAGAAAGCAGGGGAUCUUCGGACCUUGCGCUAAUAGAUAAGCCUAAGUCGGAUUAGCUAGUUGGUGGGGUAAAGGCCUACCAAGGCGACGAUCUGUAGCGGGUCUGAGAGGAUGAUCCGCCACACUGGGACUGAGACACGGCCCAGACUCCUACGGGAGGCAGCAGUGGGGAAUAUUGGACAAUGGGGGGAACCCUGAUCCAGCCAUGCCGCGUGUGUGAAGAAGGCCUUAUGGUUGUAAAGCACUUUAAGCGAGGAGGAGGCUACUUUAGUUAAUACCUAGAGAUAGUGGACGUUACUCGCAGAAUAAGCACCGGCUAACUCUGUGCCAGCCGCCGCCGUAA
Molecule: ribosomal RNA, 501 nt
Filed under: uncultured bacterium
Lineage: Bacteria
Description: partial 16S ribosomal RNA
Rfam family: Bacterial small subunit ribosomal RNA
Source: RNAcentral